Molecule: ribosomal RNA, 254 nt
Filed under: uncultured bacterium
Lineage: Bacteria
Description: partial 16S ribosomal RNA
Rfam family: Bacterial small subunit ribosomal RNA
Source: RNAcentral
UACGUAGGGGCCUAGCGUUGUCCGGAUUUAUUGGGCGUAAAGAGCUCGUAGGCGGUUCGGUAAGUCAGGUGUGAAAUCUCCACGCUCAACGUGGAGGCGCCACCUGAAACUGCCGUGACUAGAGUCCGGUAGGGGAGUGUGGAAUUACCGGUGUAGCGGUGGAAUGCGUAGAGAUCGGGAAGAACACCCGUGGCGAAGGCGACCUACUGGGCUGCGACUGACGCUGAGGCAUGAAAGCGUGGGGAGCAAACAGG